This 429-nucleotide ribosomal RNA is filed under the name Chloroflexota bacterium. RNAcentral's name for it is "Chloroflexi bacterium partial 16S ribosomal RNA". It matches the Rfam family "Bacterial small subunit ribosomal RNA", at positions 355 to 776 of the family's 1533-position model. Lineage: Bacteria; Bacillati; Chloroflexota. The record is from RNAcentral.
UGGGGAAUAUUGCACAAUGGGCGCAAGCCUGAUGCAGCCAUGCCGCGUGUGUGAAGAAGGCCUUCGGGUUGUAAAGCACUUUCAGCGGGGAGGAAGGCGGUGAGGUUAAUAACCUCACCGAUUGACGUUACCCGCAGAAGAAGCACCGGCUAACUCCGUGCCAGCAGCCGCGGUAAUACGGAGGGUGCAAGCGGUAAUCGGAAUUACUGGGCGUAAAGCGCACGCAGGCGGUCUGUCAAGUCGGAUGUGAAAUCCCCGGGCUCAACCUGGGAACUGCAUUCGAAACUGGCAGGCUAGAGUCUUGUAGAGGGGGGUAGAAUUCCAGGUGUAGCGGUGAAAUGCGUAGAGAUCUGGAGGAAUACCGGUGGCGAAGGCGGCCCCCUGGACAAAGACUGACGCUCAGGUGCGAAAGCGUGGGGAGCAAACAGG